This 301-nucleotide ribosomal RNA is filed under the name uncultured bacterium. Its description in RNAcentral is "partial 16S ribosomal RNA". It matches the Rfam family "Bacterial small subunit ribosomal RNA", at positions 509 to 807 of the family's 1533-position model. The record is from RNAcentral.
CAGUCGCCGCGGUAAUACAGAGGGUGCGAGCGUUAAUCGGAUUUACUGGGCGUAAAGCGCACGCAGGCGGUCUGACAAGUCAGAUGUGAAAUCCCCGGGCUUAACCUGGGAACUGCAUUUGAAACUGUCAGGCUGGAGUCUUGUAGAGGGGGAUGGAAUUCCGCGUGUAGCAGUGAAAUGCGUAGAUAUGCGGAGGAACACCGAUGGCGAAGGCAAUCCCCUGGGCCUGUACUGACGCUCAUGCACGAAAGCGUGGGGAGCAAACAGGAUUAGAUACCCCUGUAGUCCCUGUCUCUUAUAC